Molecule: long non-coding RNA, 423 nt
Organism: Dromaius novaehollandiae (emu)
Lineage: Eukaryota; Metazoa; Chordata; Aves; Casuariiformes; Dromaiidae
Source: Ensembl
UGCGAUGAGCACAAGGCGACAGUACUGCUUUCUUGAUGACAGCUACCAGUGCAUGGAAAUGCUGUGAUCGGAUUACCAAAAAUUAGUGGAGGACUGAUAACAGAAUCAAGGACAGAGUGGCAUGAGGAUUCAGAGCUGCCAGCUGAGGGAUCUCCACAUCUACUGCAGAGAAGCAAAAACUAUUGGAGUUUGGAUUUUCCUGCUGUAAGUAUGGAUAUGUAAACCAAGUAUGGAUAUGUAAACCAAUAAGCAACUCUGUACAUUCCAAUGUCAGGGCAACAAUGACUCCUUUCGUGUGCUGGCUGCGAUGACGAAGUGCCAGCUGAGGCCAGAGACAGCYGGGCUCUGGAGAACUACAGGGGAUCCGGAAGAAGCGAUUACAAGCAGUAGGUUUUCCUGGAAGUUUUGUGUGAGGAGAGAAGG